GACAGAGGGGGCGAGCGUUUUCCGGAGUCACUGGGCGUAAAGCGCGCGCAGGCGGCAACCUUAGUGUCGUGUGAAAGCCCCCGGCUCAACCGGGGGAGGCCAUGGCAAACUGGGUCGCUCGAGCUGCGGAGAGGCCCCUCGAAUUGCCGGUGUAGCGGUGAAAUGCGUAGAGAUUGGCAGGAAGACCAAGGGGGAAGCCAGGGGGCUGGCCGCAGGCUGACGCUGAGGCGCGACAGCGUGGGGAGCAAACCGG
RNAcentral lists this ribosomal RNA (253 nucleotides) under uncultured bacterium. RNAcentral describes it as "partial 16S ribosomal RNA". It matches the Rfam family "Bacterial small subunit ribosomal RNA", at positions 524 to 776 of the family's 1533-position model. The record is from RNAcentral.